GAUGAACGCUGGCGGCGUGCCUAAUACAUGCAAGUCGAGCGAACGGACGAGAAGCUUGCUUCUCUGAUGUUAGCGGCGGACGGGUGAGUAACACGUGGAUAACCUACCUAUAAGACUGGGAUAACUUCGGGAAACCGGAGCUAAUACCGGAUAAUAUUUUGAACCGCAUGGUUCAAAAGUGAAAGACGGUCUUGCUGUCACUUAUAGAUGGAUCCGCGCUGCAUUAGCUAGUUGGUAAGGUAACGGCUUACCAAGGCAACGAUGCAUAGCCGACCUGAGAGGGUGAUCGGCCACACUGGAACUGAGACACGGUCCAGACUCCUACGGGAGGCCGCAGUAGGGAAUCUUCCGCAAUGGGCGAAAGCCUGACGGAGCAACGCCGCGUGAGUGAUGAAGGUCUUCGGCUCGUAAAACUCUGUUAUUAGGGAAGAACAUAUGUGUAAGUAACUGUGCACAUCUUGACGGUACCUAAGCAGAAAGCCACGGCUACCUACGU
This 496-nucleotide ribosomal RNA is filed under the name uncultured bacterium. Its description in RNAcentral is "partial 16S ribosomal RNA". It matches the Rfam family "Bacterial small subunit ribosomal RNA", at positions 28 to 506 of the family's 1533-position model. The record is from RNAcentral.